RNAcentral lists this unclassified non-coding RNA (335 nucleotides) under soil metagenome. RNAcentral's name for it is "partial contains 5.8S ribosomal RNA, internal transcribed spacer 2, and large subunit ribosomal RNA". The stretch from base 1 to 120 matches the Rfam family "5.8S ribosomal RNA", at positions 35 to 154 of the family's 154-position model. The record is from RNAcentral.
GAUGAAGAACGCAGUGAAAUGCGAUAAGUAAUGUGAAUUGCAGAAUUCAGUGAAUCAUCGAAUCUUUGAACGCACAUUGCGCCCGCCAGUAUUCUGGCGGGCAUGCCUGUUCGAGCGUCAUUUCAACCAUCAAGCCCCAGGCUUGUGUUGGGGACCUGCGGCUGCCGCAGGCCCUGAAAACCAGUGGCGGGCUCGCUGUCACACCGGGCGUAGUAGAUUUUAUCUCGCUCAGGGCGUGCUGCGGGUUCCGGCCGUUAAAAAGCCUUUUUUACCCAAGGUUGACCUCGGAUCAGGUAGGAAGACCCGCUGAACUUAAGCAUAUCAAUAAGCGGAGA